RNAcentral lists this ribosomal RNA (305 nucleotides) under uncultured bacterium. Its description in RNAcentral is "bacterial SSU rRNA". It matches the Rfam family "Bacterial small subunit ribosomal RNA", at positions 334 to 653 of the family's 1533-position model. The record is from RNAcentral.
UUUGCCUACGGGACGCAGCAGUGGGGAAUAUUGGGCAAUGGGCGCAAGCCUGACCCAGCAACGCCGCGUGAAGGAAGAAGGCUUUCGGGUUGUAAACUUCUUUUCUCAGGGACGAAGAAAGUGACGGUACCUGAGGAAUAAGCCACGGCUAACUACGUGCCAGCAGCCGCGGUAAUACGUAGGUGGCAAGCGUUAUCCGGAUUUACUGGGUGUAAAGGGCGUGUAGGCGGGACUGCAAGUCAGAUGUGAAAACCAUGGGCUCAACCUGUGGCCUGCAUUUGAAACUGUAGUUCUUGAGUACUGGG